Molecule: ribosomal RNA, 253 nt
Filed under: uncultured bacterium
Lineage: Bacteria
Description: partial 16S ribosomal RNA
Rfam family: Bacterial small subunit ribosomal RNA
Source: RNAcentral
UACGAAGGGGGCUAGCGUUGCUCGGAAUCACUGGGCGUAAAGCGCACGUAGGCGGCUUCUUAAGUCAGGGGUGAAAUCCUGGAGCUCAACUCCAGAACUGCCUUUGAUACUGAGGAGCUUGAGUCCGGGAGAGGUGAGUGGAACUCCGAGUGUAGAGGUGAAAUUCGUAGAUAUUCGCAAGAACACCAGUGGCGAAGGCGGCUCACUGGCCCGGUACUGACGCUGAGGUGCGAAAGCGUGGGGAGCAAACAGG